RNAcentral lists this transfer RNA (75 nucleotides) under Batrachospermum sp. RNAcentral describes it as "tRNA-Met". It matches the Rfam family "tRNA". From Rfam's summary of the family: Transfer RNA (tRNA) molecules are approximately 80 nucleotides in length. Their secondary structure includes four short double-helical elements and three loops (D, anti-codon, and T loops). Lineage: Eukaryota; Rhodophyta; Florideophyceae; Batrachospermales; Batrachospermaceae. The record is from RNAcentral.
CGCGGGAUAGAGUAAGUUGGUGAACUCAUUAGGUUCAUGCCCUAAAAAGUGUAGGUUCGAGUCCUACUCCCGCAA